AUUGAACGCUGGCGGCAGGCCUAACACAUGCAAGUCGAGCGGAGGAAGGGAGCUUGCUCCUGGAUUCAGCGGCGGACGGGUGAGUAAUGCCUAGGAAUCUGCCUGGUAGGGGGGGAUAACGUCCGGAAACGGGCGCUAAUACCGCAUACGUCCUGCGGGAGAAAGUGGGGGAUCUUCGGACCUCACGCUAUCAGAUGAGCCUAGGUCGGAUUAGCUAGUUGGUGGGGUAAAGGCCUACCAAGGCGACGAUCCGUAACUGGUCUGAGAGGAUGAUCAGUCACACUGGAACUGAGACACGGUCCAGACUCCUACGGGAGGCAGCAGUGGGGAAUAUUGGACAAUGGGCGAAAGCCUGAUCCAGCCAUGCCGCGUGUGUGAAGAAGGUCUUCGGAUUGUAAAGCACUUUAAGUUGGGAGGAAGGGCAGUAAGUUAAUACCUUGCUGUUUUGACGUUACCAACAGAAUAAGCACCGGCUAACUUCGUG
RNAcentral lists this ribosomal RNA (484 nucleotides) under uncultured bacterium. RNAcentral describes it as "partial 16S ribosomal RNA". It matches the Rfam family "Bacterial small subunit ribosomal RNA", at positions 30 to 507 of the family's 1533-position model. The record is from RNAcentral.